Lotus japonicus is the source of this 1704-nucleotide long non-coding RNA. RefSeq lists it as uncharacterized. The transcript is spliced from 2 exons. Lineage: Eukaryota; Viridiplantae; Streptophyta; Magnoliopsida; Fabales; Fabaceae. The record is from RefSeq and is a predicted model, not a curated record.
AGUGAUAAUAAAAUGAUAGAUAUUAAUGAAUCAUACAUACAUACAUAUGCAUGUGCAUAUAUACAUAAAUAUUUGCAGAUACAAAAUUUUAAGUGACAGAUAGUUUUUCCUAGGGUUAAGCGUUAUAUUGGUCCCUGUCUUUGUCUCGCCGUCUGAUCUAAGUCCCUCGCCGGAAAAUUUAUUGCAUUUGGUCCUCAUCUUUAAAAUAUUUUUGGGGCAGAUCCUCACCGGAGAGUGGAGCUCCGGCGAGUGCAUAAAUGACAUGCUGACUGUGUCAAUAAUGCCUACGUGGAAUUAAAAAAAUAAAAAAUAAAUAACACAUCAGAAUAUUAAAUUAAAUUUUCUUAUUAUAACCCUAAUUUAAUCAACUAAAUUAAAUCCCCCCAAACUUAUCCCAAUUUACCCAUCGCUGAGUUUCAAACCCAGAAUCAAAAUCUUAUUCAAAACCUUGUUCUUUCCAAUCUUCUACUCCGUUCUGUGAAACCCAGAAGUUUCCACCAUGGUUCUCCAAUUUUCCCUUUUUCCCUAAUCAAUUUCUCAACUUCACCACCAGAAUUCUCCAACUCUUCUCCACCAUGUUGUUGUUUAACUACCUUCACCCAAACUCCGCUCAACAACAACAAUCCUCAUUUCCAAUCACCAAUUUAAAUCCCUCAAACCCAAAUUUCCUGUACCAGAUUUCCAAUUUCUCGCAGGUUCUCAACAAAGCAACCACCACCACCACCCAUGAACCGGAGAAGACGGUAAUGGACCACCGGCUACAGGAAUUGGAAAAAAUAGCUUCUGGAGGACAGUAAUGAUGAAGAAGGUGAUUUGGUUUCUGUAAUCACGAAUUCCGAAUGGUCUGAUACCACCUCCUCUGGCACUCGGUAGGAUGCUGCAACCUCACCCUACCCCCAAACCUCACCCUCACCUACACCCCCUCAACCCCAACACCCAAAAAUCAAGCCAAAUCAAAACACCCACAAAUACUCAAAGAUCAAAAACUUAGGAAGCUACUGAAACCUUCACCAAAUCAUCCAUCAUGCACUCGAAAUCCACUCAAUAUUCUCCACCGUCAGACAAGAUGUUAAGGGGGAAUAGACUUCAGACAGAAUCAGCAACAACAACAACAAUCAUGGCAUUUGUUCUGCUUUGCAGUGCCCAGAUUUGAACCUAAUACUCAUAACCCCCACCCACCUCACCCAGAUCUAAAACAGGGUUAGGGUUUGCGUUGAAGAUGGCGAAGGAAUCGUCCUCAGUCGCACCCAGCCGUCGCACUCUGAAACUCGCGCUCUAUCGCUCUCAUUUUCUUCCUUCAUCCUCCGUCGCACUCAGAUCCAAAUCUUCCUUCGAGUUCCGGUUGCAGGGGGUUGGGCCGUUGGGGUUUUGGUAGGGGUGGGCGUUGGCUAGUGGUUGCUGGUGAUGAGGAAGAAGCUGAAGUCGAAGGAGGAGGUGAUGAGGAAGAAGAAGCUGGAUGGCAUUAUUGACACAUUCAGCAUGCCAUUUAUGCACUCGCCGGAGCUCCACCCUCCGGUGAGGAUCUGCCCCAAAAAUAUUUCAAAGAUGAGGACCAAAUGCAAUAAAUUUUCCGGCGAGGGACUUAGAUCAGACGGCGAGACAAAGACAGGGACCAAUAUAACGCUUAACCCUUUUUCCUAUGUUUUUACUUAUUUGGCUGCUAUUUUCGUUAGUAAGUGAAAUGUUAAAAGAAAGUCGCUUUUA